RNAcentral lists this ribosomal RNA (425 nucleotides) under uncultured bacterium. Its description in RNAcentral is "bacterial SSU rRNA". It matches the Rfam family "Bacterial small subunit ribosomal RNA", at positions 541 to 968 of the family's 1533-position model. The record is from RNAcentral.
UUAUCCGGAUUUAUUGGGUUUAAAGGGUGCGUAGGCGGCAAGGUAAGUCAGCGGUGAAAGACCAGGGCUCAACUCUGGAAGUGCCGUUGAUACUGUCUGGCUAGAAUGAUUCCGCCGUGGGAGGAAUGAGUAGUGUAGCGGUGAAAUGCAUAGAUAUUACUCAGAACACCGAUUGCGAAGGCAUCUCACGAGGGGUUCAUUGACGCUGAGGCACGAAAGCGUGGGGAUCGAACAGGAUUAGAUACCCUGGUAGUCCACGCAGUAAACGAUGAUGGCUAACUGUCGGGCCUUCGGGUUCGGCGGCCAAGCGAAAGCGAUAAGCCAUCCACCUGGGGAGUACGACCGCAAGGUUGAAACUCAAAGGAAUUGACGGGGGCCCGCACAAGCGGAGGAACAUGUGGUUUAAUUCGAUGAUACGCGAAGAA